GUACACUCCUGCGGGAGGCAGCAGUGGGGAAUUUUGGACAAUGGGCGAAAGCCUGAUCCAGCAAUGCCGCGUGAGUGAAGAAGGCCUUCGGGUUGUAAAGCUCUUUUGUCAGGGAAGAAACGGUGAGAGCUAAUAUCUUUUGCUAAUGACGGUACCUGAAGAAUAAGCACCGGCUAACUACGUGCCAGCAGCCGCGGUAAUACGUAGGGUGCAAGCGUUAAUCGGAAUUACUGGGCGUAAAGCGUGCGCAGGCGGUUUUGUAAGUCUGAUGUGAAAUCCCCGGGCUCAACCUGGGAAUUGCAUUGGAGACUGCAAGGCUAGAAUCUGGCAGAGGGGGGUAGAAUUCCACGUGUAGCAGUGAAAUGCGUAGAUAUGUGGAGGAACACCGAUGGCGAAGGCAGCCCCCUGGGUCAAGAUUGACGCUCAUGCACGAAAGCGUGGGGAGCAAACAGGAUUAGAAACCCGUGUAGUCCCAUGA
RNAcentral lists this ribosomal RNA (478 nucleotides) under uncultured organism. RNAcentral's name for it is "partial 16S ribosomal RNA". It matches the Rfam family "Bacterial small subunit ribosomal RNA", at positions 331 to 800 of the family's 1533-position model. The record is from RNAcentral.